This is a long non-coding RNA of Octodon degus (degu), 706 nucleotides long. RefSeq lists it as uncharacterized. The transcript has 3 exons. NCBI's taxonomy places the organism in Eukaryota, Metazoa, Chordata, Mammalia, Rodentia, Octodontidae. The record is from RefSeq and is a predicted model, not a curated record.
GAUGUGCUGGAGAUGGCCAGGGGCAGCAGCGCAGGCCGGGGAGGGCCUAGCUAGGGAGCACAGUCCUCACUGUGCUCGGGGCUCUUCUGAGUGUGGGCAUGGGCAGUGUGCGCUAAAGGCAUGGAGGACAAACUCCAGAAAAAAGCUUGGGAAUGAAAGGCUCCUGGAGAGGCCGGGAGGAAACUGGCUCCCCAAACUUCUGCAAGCCCAUCUCGGGGGCCAUCCCUACUGGCAGGGUGAAUGAAACAAGCAGGUGUCAAGGUGCUGGUUUCCUCUCUCGGCAGGGAGCCCACCCAAGGGCCGGCCAAAGCUCGGGCCCCUUCCCUCCAAACCUAGAUGCCUGCCACCUGGACAACGCCGUGCACCAGGGAAAGUCCCAGGAGCCAUGUUACACAUGCUUGGUGCUUCAAACUGAGUUAUCAAUGUUUUUCUGGAUGCAAAGCCAUCGGAUGCUUGAUGCGGAUGCCUUAAAUACUAUAAUAGUUCUGAGUCUAUGACCUAUGAGCUAAGGAAAAAACAAGGACAAUUCCAGAAAUGGCCAAGAAUACUUAAAAAGAUGAACAUGAGACACACUGCUACACCCUCGAGCCAGGGCCUACAAGUCACCGUAAAGUGAACACCUGCGAGCAAGAGCCAAGCAGGCACCGACGUGGAAAACGAGGUCACUGUAUGGGACUGACUGAUGCCCAUCUCCCUGCCUGGUGCG